UUCUUUCCCUCGGCCUCUCUUGUUUUCGUCAAAUAUUUUCGUUCUCAUCUCAGAGAGUUUUUCUUCCGGAAAAAAAAAACGAAUCAAACCCAAUUUUUCUCUCAAAAUCGAAACCCAGCGAUCUUUUUAGCUUUUCUAACCAAAUCAAAAUCGUUCUUUCAGUAAUCAAAACCCAGAAAACUCGAUCUGUUCUCUAAUAUCUUAAAAAAUUCCUAAACCUAGAAAAUCAAUUUUGUACCUAAAAACCAAAAUCAAUUCAUCUAAUAGCUGAUGGCUUUGUUGAUUAUCAUCAGGUAAAAAAGAAUAAGAAUAGAGAAAAAUAAGGCAGGGAGUCAGUGAGGGUACAUAUUAUGCAGUAGUCGAGUUGCAGGGUAAAUGUUUGUUGAAAUGCUUCAAAGUAAUUGUGUUAUGUGUUUGCUAUUUCACCUGUAAAUUAAAUGUAGGCAUAAUCCUUUGUAUGUAGGAGUCUUAGGAAUCAUUGGAUUUAUUUUGAAUUCAACUGGAAGUUUGAUGAACUGCAUCCAAGAAAUAGACUUAUCUUUUUUUUUUUGAGCAAGAAAAAAAUGAAGCUCGGGAGAGUCGAACCUGAGCCUCCUCUGUCCAAGUCUGGGAUUCCAACCAUCUUUCCACAUUCCAAGAAAUAGACUUAUCAAUGUAUAGAAUUUCCUAUGGCCAUUCAUAUGAGUCACAAUAUUUGCUGAAAUGGUAACAGCUACCGGGAUGUUUCUUUAGAAGAUGCUUAAGAAUAUGCUAUCCCAAGGUAGCAACAUCAUGUGGAUUUUGCAAGAAUAUGGGAGGCUUGUGUACCACCACUGAAGAGGGUCUGGUGGUGUCUCAACCAAUAAGAUUCAAUGGCUCUUGCACACCACUACAGCAAGCCACUAUCAAAAAUACUCGUUGGGGAAAUGGAUAAUCAGGUUAAAGGGUUUAUGUGCAACGACUUUCGAGAACUUGCUUUUCUUAAAUUUUUUGGUUUUCUCACAUAUAUGGGGAGAUAACGUUUAUGCAGAUUUCUUAGCUAAAGAAUGGAGCUAAUAGUUCAGCGCCUCCCUGAUAGGAUCCCCCAACUGCGAUACAUACUGCAAUGUGGGGAGACACUUAUCGCUUUCGUUAGCAUUUCAUGGUCGACAAUGACACUUGCAUUAUUCGGAACGAAAAUGUUAUUCUUUUUAGGUAUGACAAGAGGAAGGGUGAUCUAAUUUUAAAGCAUGAGUAAGGAGUACCCAUAUAUUUACAAAAAGUCUGGAAACAAAUGAUAUCGUGCUGGAUGGCAACUGGCCCUGUAGUUCGAAAGAAAGAUGCUUCUUGCAACAGCUUGGUAUGUGUCCUUCCCUUUGUACAGUUUUGAUACUGUCUCAUAUUUUAGUGCUUCCAAUAGUUUUGAUCUGAAUAGGAUAUCUUAAGACAUGCUAUUCACAUCUGUUAGAACACUCCACUUCUUCUCAAUGCAACGACAGUUUGGAUUCAUAUCAUAGACGACUCUUACAAUCCUCAAGCUCGAUGAAUUAAUGUUCACGUUUCUAUCCCACAACCACUUGACGAAGUGGCUAUAAAAUAAGAGUUGUUCCACUUGUUUAGGAAGUGGUAGUCGUGUGAAGUGGGAAUUCCCACUAAAUCAAUGUCUUUGUUGCCGAGAGUGAACUUGAAUAAUUGAAUUUUAUUUUCAUAUUUAUACUAAUAAUUAUAUAUGAUUUGGUAUGAACUCAUUUCUUCGGUUUUGUGAAAGCUUUUCAGUCUUUAACACUGACGGUCUCUCUCGGUGAUUGGUUAGAACACUCCACUUCUUCUUAAUGCAACGACAGUUUGGAUUCAUAUCAUAGACGACUCUUACAAUCCUACAAGCUCGAUGAAUUAAUGUUCACGUUUCUAUCCCACAACCACUUGACGAAGUGGCUAUAAAAUAAGAGUUGUUCCACUUGUUUAGGAAGUGGUAGUCGUGUGAAGUGGGAAUUCCCACUAAAUCAAUGUCUUUGUUGCUGAGAGUGAACUUGAAUAAUUGAAUUUUAUUUUCAUAUUUAUACUAAUAAUUAUAUAUGAUUUGGUAUGAACUCAUUUCUUCGAUUUCGUGAAAGCUUUUCAGUCCUUAACACUGACGGUCUCUCUCGGUGAUUGGUUUUAUAGGGUCAUUACUAUUUUUGUUCAAACAACUACCUCCUCAAGUUUAUCUGUUGCGACCAUUAUAUACUUUGGUUUUUAUUGAUUUCAUACCAACCAAAAUAUGUAGAACUGUAUUUUUUGGUUUGAUCUGACGAUGAUUUCUUAAUUUGACUCUUUUACUCAUGAUUUAUCUACUUGAGUACGAGUUUUUCCAAACUUCAUUGGUUCCCUGUCUUAAUAGCUGGUUGAUUUUAUUUCAAAAAGAAAGUAAAGGAUCUAUCUUGUGACAAAAGAAAGGAAAUGAAGUUCUAUUUUGGUUUACUGGACCACUUUCCAAAUGGGUUUAUGUAGCCACUUAUACAGCAUACUUUAC
Long non-coding RNA from Papaver somniferum (opium poppy), 2470 nucleotides. RefSeq lists it as uncharacterized. NCBI's taxonomy places the organism in Eukaryota, Viridiplantae, Streptophyta, Magnoliopsida, Ranunculales, Papaveraceae. The transcript has 3 exons. The record is from RefSeq and is a predicted model, not a curated record.